Molecule: ribosomal RNA, 433 nt
Filed under: uncultured bacterium
Lineage: Bacteria
Description: partial 16S ribosomal RNA
Rfam family: Bacterial small subunit ribosomal RNA
Source: RNAcentral
AGCGAACGCUGGCGGCAGGCCUAACACAUGCAAGUCGAACGAACUCUUCGGAGUUAGUGGCGGACGGGUGAGUAACACGUGGGAACGUGCCUUUUGGUUCGGAAUAACUCAGGGACACUUGUGCUAAUACCGAAUGUGCCCUUCGGGGGAAAGAUUUAUCGCCAUUAGAGCGGCCCGCGUCUGAUUAGCUAGUUGGUGAGGUAACGGCUCACCAAGGCGACGAUCAGUAGCUGGUCUGAGAGGAUGACCAGCCACACUGGGACUGAGACACGGCCCAGACUCCUACGGGAGGCAGCAGUGGGGAAUCUUGCGCAAUGGGCGAAAGCCUGACGCAGCCAUGCCGCGUGAAUGAUGAAGGUCUUAGGAUUGUAAAAUUCUUUCACCGGGGACGAUAAUGACGGUACCCGGAGAAGAAGCCCCGGCUAACUUCGUG